RNAcentral lists this long non-coding RNA (507 nucleotides) under Mastacembelus armatus (zig-zag eel). Its description in RNAcentral is "lncRNA (ENSMAMG00000024868.1)". The record is from RNAcentral. Lineage: Eukaryota; Metazoa; Chordata; Actinopteri; Synbranchiformes; Mastacembelidae.
UUGACAAGUGUGAUACAGUGUUAACAGGAAACUGUGUCAAGAUGGAAAGCGGACGAUAGCCCUGAUUCCACAACAGCAGCCGAUUUUACGCAGACAUUUACGUAACAGCACUUUUAUCCUGGAAACAUCUUUCAUGUGCUGAGGUCUUUCUUGAAAAUGCAGUGUGUCCUGUAGUGCAAGUUCUUCUUGGGAGGGACUUAUGCACUGUCGUGUGAUGUCUCAAAGCAGGAGGAAAUAAUUUGGUUCACUCUGAGCCACAAAUAGCACACAAUCAGGACUAAGCAAGCCGAAGUAAACAUGUUGCACUUGCUGGGGACUGUUGCUGGCCUUCUCUUCAUCAUAAUAUGCUUUUCAAAGGGACUCAAAAAGAAAAAUAAAUCACAGCUUGAACCCUCUGUCAACAACAAGAUGAAGGAUCUGAGUGAGAAGGAUGUGCAUUUACUGGCCAAGAUUCUGUCAGCUGGAUUGGUGGAUGCAGAUCCAAACUAUUUACAUCAUCUCAAAGGC